ACGGGAGGCAGCAGUGGGGAAUUUUGCGCAAUGGGGGAAACCCUGACGCAGCAACGCCGCGUGCGGGACGGAGGCCUUCGGGCUGUAAACCGCUUUCAGCAGGGAAGACUUUGACGGUACCUGCAGAAGAAGCUCCGGCUAACUACGUGCCAGCAGCCGCGGUAAUACGUAGGGGGCGAGCGUUAUCCGGAUUCAUUGGGCGUAAAGCGCGCGUAGGCGGAUCGCUAAGCGGAACCUCUAAUCCGAGGGCUCAACCCCCGGCCGGGUUCCGAACUGGCGGUCUCGAGUGCGGUAGGGGCAAGUGGAAUUCCAUGUGUAGCGGUGGAAUGCGCAGAUAUAUGGAAGAACACCGAUGGCGAAGGCAGCUUGCUGGGCCGUCACUGACGCUGAGGUGCGAAAGCGUGGGGAGCGAACAGGAUUAGAUACCCUGGUA
RNAcentral lists this ribosomal RNA (433 nucleotides) under uncultured Adlercreutzia sp. Its description in RNAcentral is "partial 16S ribosomal RNA". It matches the Rfam family "Bacterial small subunit ribosomal RNA", at positions 341 to 792 of the family's 1533-position model. Lineage: Bacteria; Bacillati; Actinomycetota; Coriobacteriia; Eggerthellales; Eggerthellaceae. The record is from RNAcentral.